This 1247-nucleotide ribosomal RNA is filed under the name uncultured bacterium. RNAcentral's name for it is "bacterial SSU rRNA". It matches the Rfam family "Bacterial small subunit ribosomal RNA", at positions 94 to 1337 of the family's 1533-position model. The record is from RNAcentral.
AGCGGCGGACGGGUGAGUAACAUUUAGGAAUCUGCCUAGUAGUGUGGGAUAGCUCGGGGAAACUCGAAUUAAUACCACAUACGACCUACGGGUGAAAGGGGGCGACCUUCAAGCUCUUGCUAUUAGUUGAGCCUAAAUCAGAUUAGCUAGUUGGUGGGGUAAAGGCCCACCAAGGCGAAGAUCUGUAACUGGUCUGAGAAGAUGAUCAGUCACGCCGGAACUGAGACACGGUCCGGACUCCUACGGGAGGCAGCAGUGGGGAAUAUUGGACAAUGGGGGCAACCCUGAUCCAGCCAUGCCGCGUGUGUGAAGAAGGCCUUUGGUUUGUAAAGCACUUUAAGCAGGGAGGAGAGGCUAAUGGUUAAUACCAUUAGAUUUAGACGUUACCUGCAGAAUAAGCACCGGCUAACUCUGUGCCAGCAGCCGCGGUAAUACAGAGGGUGCGAGCGUUAAUCGGAAUUACUGGGCGUAAAGCGAGUGUAGGUGGCUCAUUAAGUCACAUGUGAAAUCCCCGGGCUUAACCUGGGAACUGCAUGUGAUACUGGUGCUGCUAGAAUAUGUGAGAGUGAAGUAUAAUUCCAGGUGUAGCGGUGAAAUGCGUAGAGAUCUGGAGGAAUACCGAUGGCGAAGGCAGCUUCCUGGCUUAAUAUUGACACUGAGAUUCGAAAGCGUGGGUAGCAAACAGGAUUAGAUACCCUGGUAGUCCACGCCGUAAACGAUGUCUACUAGCCGUUGGGGUCCUUGAGACUUUAGUGGCGCAGUUAACGCGAUAAGUAGACCGCCUGGGGAGUACGGCCGCAAGGUUAAAACUCAAAUGAAUUGACGGGGGCCCGCACAAGCGGUGGAGCAUGUGGUUUAAUACGAUGCAACGCGAAGAACCUUACCUGGUCUUGACAUAGUGAGAAUCUUUCAGAGAUGAGAGAGUGCCUUCGGGAAUUCACAUACAGGUGCUGCAUGGCUGUCGUCAGCUCGUGUCGUGAGAUGUUGGGUUAAGUCCCGCAACGAGCGCAACCCUUUUCCUUAUUUGCCAGCGGGUAAUGCCGGGAACUUAAAGGAUACUGCCAGUGACAAACUGGAGGAAGGCGGGGACGACGUCAAGUCAUCAUGGCCCUUACGACCAGGGCUACACACGUGCUACAAUGGUAGGUACAGAGGGUUGCUACACAACGAUGUGAUGCUAAUCUCAAAAAGCCUAUCGUAGUCCGGAUUGGACUCUGCAACUCGACUCCAUGAAGUCGGAAUCGCUA